GAGAGGACCGGGAUGGAUCCACCUCUAGUGUACGAGUUAUCGCGCCAGCGGUAGCGCUCGGUAGCUAAGUCGAGCAUGGAUAAACGCUGAAUGCAUCUAAGCGUGAAGCCAGACCAGAGAUUAGUUCUGCCUAUGAGACUCGUGGUAGACCACCACGUUGAUAGGAUGGGUAUGUAAGCGUUGAAAGGCGCUCAGUUGACCAUUACUAAUAUGUCCAUUGGCUUGACCUA
This 230-nucleotide ribosomal RNA is filed under the name Pyrinomonadaceae bacterium. RNAcentral's name for it is "partial 23S ribosomal RNA". It matches the Rfam family "Bacterial large subunit ribosomal RNA", at positions 2685 to 2925 of the family's 2925-position model. The record is from RNAcentral. Lineage: Bacteria; Pseudomonadati; Acidobacteriota; Blastocatellia; Blastocatellales; Pyrinomonadaceae.